RNAcentral lists this ribosomal RNA (590 nucleotides) under uncultured bacterium. RNAcentral describes it as "partial 16S ribosomal RNA". It matches the Rfam family "Bacterial small subunit ribosomal RNA", at positions 355 to 1375 of the family's 1533-position model. The record is from RNAcentral.
UGGGGAAUUUUGGACAAUGGGCGAAAGCCUGAUCCAGCAAUGCCGCGUGUGUGAAGAAGGCCUUCGGGUUGUAAAGCACUUUUGUCCGGAAAGAAAUCCUUGGCUCUAAUACAGUCGGGGGAUGACGGUACCGGAAGAAUAAGCACCGGCUAACUACGUGCCAGCAGCCGCGGUAAUACGUAGGGUGCAAGCGUUAAUCGGAAUUACUGGGCGUAAAGCGUGCGCAGGCGGUUUGCUAAGACCGAUGUGAAAUCCCCGGGCUCAACCUGGGAACUGCAUUGGUGACUGGCAGGCUAGAGUAUGGCAGAGGGGGGUAGAAUUCCACGUGUAGCAGUGAAAUGCGUAGAGAUGUGGAGGAAUACCGAUGGCGAAGGCAGCCCCCUGGGGCCAAUACUGACGCUCAUGCACGAAAAGCGUGGGGGAGCAAAACAGGAUUAGAUACCCUGGGUAGUCCACGCCCUAAACGAUGUCAACUAGUUGUUGGGGAUUCAUUUCCUUAGUAACGUAGCUAACGCGUGAAGUUGACCGCCUGGGGAGUACGGUCGCAAGAUUAAAACUCAAAUGAAUUGACGGGGUCAUAGCUGUUUCCU